Molecule: long non-coding RNA, 2585 nt
Filed under: Homo sapiens (human)
Lineage: Eukaryota; Metazoa; Chordata; Mammalia; Primates; Hominidae
Description: HSALNT0362827
Source: RNAcentral
AAGUGAAGAUUGACAUCCAUUAAGGCCAAUGGUAGCUCAAUCUUCUGUUCUCUGACUCCCAAGCUUCCCAUUCUCUUAGGAGGCUGCAUUUGUGGCGCUAAAAAAAGGGAUGGGCGUGGGAGAUUCCAGGACUUGUGCUCGCUGAAGAUACAACUGUUAGUCCAAGGGGUGACCCUGGAGAUCAUUACCAAAAUUUAAAAAUUUCACCACUGGGCACACAUGUUACCCUUCUCGUGAUGGCAUGGCAAAGCUUGAUUUGCAAGAGUUUCUUUUGGAUUGUCCCCAAUGAUUCCCUUUAAAAAUAGGAGCUCCUUCAAGCUCCUGUAUCAGCAGUGCUUGCACCUCAUAGGUGAUGAUCAUGAGGGGGACAAGGAGCCUCUAGACUUAAGAGACAAGUUGCCAGCAUUCUCCAGAUGGAGUGUUUCCCUCCGCAGCACCCCCUGCUGGUCAGUUUGACAAGCAGGUGAACAGAAGUUCUCAAAUACACAAUAGUAGAUUCUAUCAAUCAAGUUUCAUAAAGAGUUCUGAUUCCCAGAGAUAGCAGAUUCUGUCAACCACAUUUCAUAAAGAGUUCUGAUUCUAAGAGAGCCAUACACCUGAAGGAGGGAUGGAAAGACUAGGAGAGCCUGGGAUCCUCAGAGAUGGAGAUCUGGAUGUGAAGAGAAAGAGAAAAACAAAAGUCAACAGACAGUACUGUGACCAAGUCAGUGAUGGUGAGAUCAGCAGCAUCUCUAGGACCCUUCUGAUUGACAUGAAGUCACCAUCAAGUAGGCAGAACUCACAGGACUUAUGGAGCAAGGAUGACUGACACAAACACAAAAAUCAUUCUGCCUGUUGAAUGAAUCAUAAAAUACUGUCUUUGAUCCAGGAGGCUUGUGUCAUCUGCCAGCAUUUAUGAAACUGUGCUCCAAGUAGGAUGGGGUCUCUAUCUGGCCAGCGCCAUGUUGCCUGAACACUUGAAGACAAAGAAAAGGGAAGAAGAGGCAGGGCGCCGUAGCUCACGCCUGUAAUCACCGCACUUUCUGAGGGCGAGGAGGGUGGAUCACGAGGUCAGGAGUUCAAGACCAGCUUGGCCAAGAUGGUGAAACCUCGUCUCCACUAAAAAAAAUACAAAAAAAAAAAAAUUUAGCCGGGCCUGUUGGUGGGCUCCUGAAAUCCCAGCCACUCAGGAGGCUGAGGUAGAGAGCUGCUUGAACCCGGGAGGCAGAGGGUGCAGUGAGCCGACAUCGCCCCACUCCACUCCAGCAUGGGCAACAGAGCGAGACUCCGUCAAAAAAAAAAAAAAAAAAAAAAAGAAGAGGACACCUCCAUGUUGAACAUGCGAGUAUGCCUGGCUUCCAAGUAUCCCUUUUCUAUUGGCAUAGGUGCCGGCAUUCCCCUUUGCAAGUUUUAGCUUGCUUAUCUAUGCUUGCAGCUGAUUUUUCAGGCUGAUUGUUGUUAGAAAACAAAAUUAGAUGGGGGCUGCUUUUUUAUUAAAAGGAAAACCUUACCAACGACUCCCUUACCCACACUAACUGCCUAAAUAAUUGAUUUUUUUAGCUCCUGUAUCAGCAGUGCUUGCCCCUGAUAGAUGAUGAUCAUGGGGGGACCAGGAGCCUCUAGACUUAGAGAACUUUCCCCACCCUCCCUGUGGAGUGUUUCCCUCCCCAGCACCCCCUGCUGGUCAGUUUGACAAACAGAUGAACAGAAGUUCUCAAAUACACAGUAAGCAGAUAACCCCAACAUCACCAGAAAUAUCAACUUGUGAUGGCAUUUUGUCAAGUUGUCUUUGUUAUCGGCAUCAUCUGUUGCUUUCUGAGGGAAGUAUUUUGAGUUCUCCUACUGAGACUGUGGAUUUGCCUAUUUCUUUUUGUAUGUCAGCUUUUGCCAUAUGUAUUUUGUAGUUGUGUUGUGAGGAAGAUUCAUGACUUAUCUUGUGGGAGAAUUCUGUAUUUAGCAGAUUUUCGUCUUAAGUUCUGUUUUGCUUAGUAUUGAUGUUAUUACUUUGCUUUUUCAGUUUCAAAAUCAUUUAGUAUAUCUUUUUCCUUUCUUUUAGCCUUUGUGUUUUUAUUUCAGAUGUGCUUUCUUAUGUACUGACUGUGAUCCCCAAAUUCAUAUGUUGAAGUCCCAACUCCAAAUGUAUUUGGAGGUGGGCCUUUCAGACGUAAUUGAGUUUAGAUGACGUCAUGAGGGUGGAGCCCCCAUGAUGACACUAAGUCCUUCUAAGAAAAGGAAGAGAGUCUGAGCCCUCCUCUACACCAUGUGAGGGCACAGAGAGAGAGCAGCCAUCAACAAGCUGAGAGAGGAGGACUGAGAAUGAAACCUACCUCGCCAGAACCUUGUCAUAUCCCUUCCCGGUUUCCAAACGAGUGAGAAAUCAAUUUCUGUUGUGUAAGCUACUCAGUGUAUGAAACUUUGUUAUGGCAGCCAGAGCAGAUUAAUGCAUGCUUCUUGGACUUUGUUUUUAACUCAAUAUGAAAAACAUAUGUUUUAAUAAAAAAAUUACCCCAUUCAUCUGUAUUGUGUUUACUGAUAAUUUUGGACUUAUUUUUGCCAUAUUUAAGAAAUCCUCCUUCCUCUUUCCCAUGCUUUCUUGUGUUUUUUUA